This 578-nucleotide ribosomal RNA is filed under the name Mytilisepta virgata. RNAcentral's name for it is "16S ribosomal RNA". It matches the Rfam family "Bacterial large subunit ribosomal RNA", at positions 1696 to 2646 of the family's 2925-position model. Lineage: Eukaryota; Metazoa; Mollusca; Bivalvia; Mytilida; Mytilidae. The record is from RNAcentral.
AAAUUUUAUUUAAUGAAUUCGGCAAAUUUUAUCUAUGACUGUUUAACAAAAACAUUUCCUUUUGUAUUGAUAAGAGGUAUGCCCUGCCCGGUGUUGUGUAAUAAACGGCGGCCUUAGCGUGAGGGUCCAAAGGUAGCGUAAUAAUUUGGCCUUUAAUUGGGGUCUGGAAUGAAUGGGUUAACAUGGAUAAACUGUGUCAAAUAAGGUUAGUUGAAAUUAAUUUUGAGGUGAAGAAGCCUUAAUUUCUAAGAAAGACGACAAGACCCUACGAAGCUUUAUUUUAAGAAUAUAUUAAAUUGUAUAUUCUAAAAUUUUGUUGGGGCAACAAAAUGAAAAUGUAUCAUUUUAUUUUUGUUUUACUUAUUAGUUAAAUCUUAUUUUGUAUUAAUAGUAAGUUACUCUAGGGAUAACAGCGCAAUCUUUUAGGAUAGUUGAAAUUGGUUAAAUGGUUUGCGACCUCGAUGUUGGCUUUGGGUAACUUAGAAGUGUAGAGGCUUUAAUAGUGGAUCUGUUCGAUCUUUAAUUCCCGACAUGAGCUGAGUUCAGACCGGCGUGAGCUAGGUCAGUUUCUAUCUUCU